UUUUUUUUUUUUUUUCUUUCUCUGUCAGAUUGAACGCUGGCGGCAGGCCUAACACAUGCAAGUCGAGCGGAUGAAGGGAGCUUGCUCCUGGAUUCAGCGGCGGACGGGUGAGUAAUGCCUAGGAAUCUGCCUGGUAGUGGGGGAUAACGUCCGGAAACGGGCGCUAAUACCGCAUACGUCCUGAGGGAGAAAGUGGGGGAUCUUCGGACCUCACGCUAUCAGAUGAGCCUAGGUCGGAUUAGCUAGUUGGUGGGGUAAAGGCCUACCAAGGCGACGAUCCGUAACUGGUCUGAGAGGAUGAUCAGUCACACUGGAACUGAGACACGGUCCAGACUCCUACGGGAGGCAGCAGUGGGGAAUAUUGGACAAUGGGCGAAAGCCUGAUCCAGCCAUGCCGCGUGUGUGAAGAAGGUCUUCGGAUUGUAAAGCACUUUAAGUUGGGAGGAAGGGCAGUAAGUUAAUACCUUGCUGUUUUGACGUUACCAACAGAAUAAGCACCGGCUAACUUCGUGCCAGCAGCCGCGGUAAUACGAAGGGUGCAAGCGUUAAUCGGAAUUACUGGGCGUAAAGCGCGCGUAGGUGGUUCAGCAAGUUGGAUGUGAAAUCCCCGGGCUCAACCUGGGAACUGCAUCCAAAACUACUGAGCUAGAGUACGGUAGAGGGUGGUGGAAUUUCCUGUGUAGCGGUGAAAUGCGUAGAUAUAGGAAGGAACACCAGUGGCGAAGGCGACCACCUGGACUGAUACUGACACUGAGGUGCGAAAGCGUGGGGAGCAAACAGGAUUAGAUACCCUGGUAGUCCACGCCGUAAACGAUGUCGACUAGCCGUUGGGAUCCUUGAGAUCUUAGUGGCGCAGCUAACGCGAUAAGUCGACCGCUGGGAGACGCCGACUGG
This 894-nucleotide ribosomal RNA is filed under the name Pseudomonas aeruginosa. RNAcentral describes it as "bacterial SSU rRNA". It matches the Rfam family "Bacterial small subunit ribosomal RNA", at positions 1 to 889 of the family's 1533-position model. The record is from RNAcentral. Lineage: Bacteria; Pseudomonadati; Pseudomonadota; Gammaproteobacteria; Pseudomonadales; Pseudomonadaceae.